RNAcentral lists this ribosomal RNA (379 nucleotides) under uncultured eukaryote. RNAcentral describes it as "partial 18S ribosomal RNA". It matches the Rfam family "Eukaryotic small subunit ribosomal RNA", at positions 592 to 976 of the family's 1831-position model. The record is from RNAcentral.
CAAUAGCGUAUAUUAAAGUUGUUGCGGUUAAAAAGCUCGUAGUUGGAUUUCUGCUGAGAACGACCGGUCCGCCCUCUGGGUGUGUAUCUGGCUCUUUCUUGGCAUCUUCUUGGUGAACGUUGCUGCACUUGACUGUGUGGAGCGCUACCCAGGACUUUUACUUUGAGGAAAUUAGAGUGUUUCAAGCAGGCAUACGCCUUGAAUACAUUAGCAUGGAAUAAUAAGAUAGGACUUUGGUACUAUUUUGUUGGUUUGCGCACCAAAGUAAUGAUUAAUAGGGACAGUUGGGGGUAUUCGUAUUCCGUUGUCAGAGGUGAAAUUCUUGGAUUUACGGAAGACGAACUACUGCGAAAGCAUUUACCAAGGAUGUUUUCAUUAA